AGUGAACGCUGGCGGCGUGCCUAAUACAUGCAAGUCGAACGGAGUGCCGCAAGGGUGAGUAAUAUAUCGCUAAUCUGCCCCUUGCUGGAGGACAACAGUUAGCAAUGACUGCUAAUACCCCAUAGCAAGGGAUGAGACUAUAUCGUAUCAGCUAGUCGGUGGGGUAACGGCCUACCGAGGCUAUGACGUGUAACUGGUCAGAGAGGAUGAGCAGUCGAAUUGGAAGUGAGAAACGGUCCAGACUCAUACGGGAAUCAGCAGUAGGGAAUAUUGCGAAAUGGGGGGAUCCCUGAAGCAGCAACGGCGCGUAGAGGAUGACACUUGUCGGAGCGUAAACUCCUUUUGUUAGGGAAGCGGUACCUAACGAAUAAGCACCGGCUAACUCCGUGCCAGCAGCCGCGGUAAUUC
Molecule: ribosomal RNA, 408 nt
Filed under: uncultured bacterium
Lineage: Bacteria
Description: partial 16S ribosomal RNA
Rfam family: Bacterial small subunit ribosomal RNA
Source: RNAcentral